GUGAAUCAUCGAAUUUUUGAACGCAAAUUGCACUCUCUGGCAUUCCGGAGAGUAUGCCUGUUUGAGGGUCAGAUUAAAUAAAAAUCGAGGUGUUGCUGUUUUGUGACCCAUCGGAAUUGGGUUAUCUUUAACCUUUUAAAAAGUUAAAGUGACUUAAAAUUGAUACUUUGUGCAUAUAAGACGUACAUAAAAUUAUUUUUUUAUCCGUCCGGAGUUGCAAAUUUUUUAUUGGGUUUGAUAAUGUUGUUUGUGGCAUCGUACCUAUA
This 266-nucleotide unclassified non-coding RNA is filed under the name Glomeromycota sp. RNAcentral's name for it is "partial contains 5.8S ribosomal RNA and internal transcribed spacer 2". The stretch from base 1 to 71 matches the Rfam family "5.8S ribosomal RNA", at positions 84 to 154 of the family's 154-position model. Lineage: Eukaryota; Fungi; Glomeromycota. The record is from RNAcentral.